This 578-nucleotide ribosomal RNA is filed under the name uncultured bacterium. RNAcentral's name for it is "bacterial SSU rRNA". It matches the Rfam family "Bacterial small subunit ribosomal RNA", at positions 102 to 694 of the family's 1533-position model. The record is from RNAcentral.
ACGGGUGAGUAACACGUGGGCAAUCUGCCCUUCACUCUGGGACAAGCCCUGGAAACGGGGUCUAAUACCGGAUACCACUUCCACUCGCAUGGGUGGGGGUUGAAAGCUUCGGCGGUGAAGGAUGAGCCCGCGGCCUAUCAGCUUGUUGGUGAGGUAACGGCUCACCAAGGCGACGACGGGUAGCCGGCCUGAGAGGGCGACCGGCCACACUGGGACUGAGACACGGCCCAGACUCCUACGGGAGGCAGCAGUGGGGAAUAUUGCACAAUGGGCGAAAGCCUGAUGCAGCGACGCCGCGUGAGGGAUGACGGCCUUCGGGUUGUAAACCUCUUUCAGCAGGGAAGAAGCGAAAGUGACGGUACCUGCAGAAGAAGCGCCGGCUAACUACGUGCCAGCAGCCGCGGUAAUACGUAGGGCGCAAGCGUUGUCCGGAAUUAUUGGGCGUAAAGAGCUCGUAGGCGGUCUGUCGCGUCGGAUGUGAAAGCCCGGGGCUUAACCCCGGGUCUGCAUUCGAUACGGGCAGACUAGAGUGUGGUAGGGGAGAUCGGAAUUCCUGGUGUAGCGGUGAAAUGCGCAGA